This 300-nucleotide ribosomal RNA is filed under the name uncultured Acetobacteraceae bacterium. Its description in RNAcentral is "bacterial SSU rRNA". It matches the Rfam family "Bacterial small subunit ribosomal RNA", at positions 115 to 418 of the family's 1533-position model. The record is from RNAcentral. Lineage: Bacteria; Pseudomonadati; Pseudomonadota; Alphaproteobacteria; Acetobacterales; Acetobacteraceae.
GCGUAGGAAUUUGUCUCUGGGUGGGGGAUAACGUCGGGAAACUGACGCUAAUACCGCAUGAUGCCUGAGGGCUAAAGGCGCCAAGGAAACUUAGUGUCGCCUGGAGAGGAGCCUGCGUACGAUUAGCUAGUUGGUGGGGUAAAGGCCUACCAAGGCUACGAUCGUUAGCUGGUCUGAGAGGAUGAUCAGCCACACUGGGACUGAGACACGGCCCAGACUCCUACGGGAGGCAGCAGUGGGGAAUAUUGGACAAUGGGCGAAAGCCUGAUCCAGCAAUGCCGCGUGUGUGAAGAAGGUCUU